UACGAAGGGGGCUAGCGUUGUUCGGAAUUACUGGGCGUAAAGCGCGCGUAGGCGGCUUUGCAAGCCAGAGGUGAAAUGCCUGAGCUCAACUUAGGAAUUGCCUUUGGGACUGCAGGGCUUCGAGGACUGGAGAGGUGAGUGGAAUUCCCAGUGUAGAGGUGAAGUUCGUAGAUAUUGGGAAGAACACCAGUGGCGAAGGCGGCUCACUGGCCAGUUUCUGACGCUAAAGUGCGAAAGCGUGGGGAUCAAACAGG
RNAcentral lists this ribosomal RNA (254 nucleotides) under uncultured bacterium. RNAcentral describes it as "partial 16S ribosomal RNA". It matches the Rfam family "Bacterial small subunit ribosomal RNA", at positions 524 to 776 of the family's 1533-position model. The record is from RNAcentral.